Molecule: ribosomal RNA, 301 nt
Filed under: uncultured bacterium
Lineage: Bacteria
Description: partial 16S ribosomal RNA
Rfam family: Bacterial small subunit ribosomal RNA
Source: RNAcentral
CAGCAGCCACGGGAAUACGGAGGGUGCAAGCGUUAUCCGGAUUCACUGGGUUUAAAGGGUGCGUAGGCGGAUCUGUAAGUCAGUGGUGAAAUCUCCAGGCUUAACCUGGAAACUGCCGUUGAUACUAUAGGUCUUGAAUUUUGUGGAGGUUAGCGGAAUAUGUCAUGUAGCGGUGAAAUGCAUAGAUAUAACAUAGAACACCAAUUGCGAAGGCAGCUGGCUACACAACUAUUGACGCUGAGGCACGAAAGCGUGGGGAGCCAACAGGAUUAGAUACCCCCGUAGUCCCUGUCUCUUAUAC